RNAcentral lists this ribosomal RNA (398 nucleotides) under Myzostoma alatum. Its description in RNAcentral is "partial 16S ribosomal RNA". Lineage: Eukaryota; Metazoa; Annelida; Myzostomida; Myzostomatidae. The record is from RNAcentral.
UCUGCUCAAUGUUAUUUAAUAAUAAAUAGCUGCAUUUUUGUACUAAGGUAGCGUAAUAAUUUGUCUUUUAAUUAAAGAAUAGUAUGAAUGAAAAUUCAAGAAAAAAGCUGUCUCUAUAUGAAAAAUAUAAAUUAUUCUAUAAGUGAAAAAACUUAUAUAAAAUAAAUAGACAAGAAGACCCUGUUGAGCUUUUUCUAAUAACUAAUAUUUAGAUUUUGUUGGGGCAACAUAAAUUACUUAAACCAAUUUUUAUUAUAAUAAGAACAAAUUCAAUCUUUAUAUCUUAUUCUAUAAAAUCCUAAAAAGUUACCACAGGGAUAACAGGCUAAUUUUUUUUAAGAGUUCAAAUUAACAAAAAAGUUUGGCACCUCGAUGUUGGCUUAAGAUUCCUUUUAAAU